This 77-nucleotide transfer RNA is filed under the name Clostridia bacterium. RNAcentral's name for it is "tRNA-Arg". It matches the Rfam family "tRNA". From Rfam's summary of the family: Transfer RNA (tRNA) molecules are approximately 80 nucleotides in length. Their secondary structure includes four short double-helical elements and three loops (D, anti-codon, and T loops). Lineage: Bacteria; Bacillati; Bacillota; Clostridia. The record is from RNAcentral.
GCACCCGUAGCUCAGUUGGAUAGAGCGUCAGACUCCGACUCUGAAGGCCGUGCGUUCGAAUCGCAUCGGGUGUACCA